Molecule: long non-coding RNA, 2051 nt
Organism: Pseudophryne corroboree (corroboree frog)
Lineage: Eukaryota; Metazoa; Chordata; Amphibia; Anura; Myobatrachidae
Exons: 4
Source: RefSeq, a predicted model, not a curated record
GCUGCGAGAGGCUCAUCAACUUCCACACGCCCGGCUAGCUGGUAUGUUACUCAGUAUUGGAUCUUGGCUGCCACCACUGCACCCUGCGCCUGUAUGUGUGUGGACUAGAGGCACAGGUUAAAUAUCUAAGCAAUCGGUGAGUGUGUAUCUUGUUGUCUUGGUAAUGGGGAGCACAGUGAUGACGGAGCCUCUGUGGACGUCAUCGCUUGAGCGCCGGCCGGAGCGGGCGGGUGACCCGCCUUCCGGAAGACGUCCGUCACCGGGUGAUUUAUGGCUGUUAUAAGAUAGUACAGUUGGAUUGUUAGUUCACAAGAGUGUGAAGAUGUCAAGCCUUGCAAGUCUUUCCUUGUGUUCCAGCGUCUCCAUACCCUUAGUUUGGUCGCCCGCCUCUGAAUCAUUUCUAGUUCCAGGAUAUCCUUUUUGUAGUAGGGUGCCUAAAAUUGUGCGCAUUAUUCCAGAUGGGGCCUCACUAGGGCUUUAUAUAAUGGGAGUAUAACUCUCUCAUCCCUUGCAUCAAUACCCCUCUUUAUGCAUGCUAAUACCUUGUUUGCCUUUUUUGCCACUAUCCUACAUUGGGUGCUGCUGCUAAGUUUGUUAUCUAUGUGAACACCUAAAUCUUUUUCCAGUACGGAGUCCCCUAAAAUCACCCCAUUACAUAUGUUAUUUUUGUUCUUGUUACCAAGGUGCAUUACAUUACAUUUGUCUGUAUUAAACCUCAUUCUCCAUUUUGCUGCCCAUGAUUCCAGUUUAAAUAAAUCGUUCUGGAGAGACUCAGCGUCUCCCUCUGAAUUUAUAACCUUCCAUAGUUUGGUAUCGUCUGCAAAAAUUGACACCAUGCUCUCUAGACCUUCAAGUUCUGCUAGAUUAUUAAUGAAAAUGUUGAACAAUAGUGGUCCAAGUACAUACCCCAAUGGCACUCCACUUAGUACUUCAGGCCAAUUUGAAAAAGAUCAAUUUACCACAACGCACUGCUAUUAUCUAACCAGUUUCUAAUCCAAGUGCACAUUGUGCUCCCUAGCCCCAAUUUUUGUAACUUAUAGAAAAGUCUCAUGUGUAGCACUGUGUCGAAAGCUUUAGCAAAGUCUAAAAAGAUUACAUCUACCACCUUACCCUGAUCAAGGUUCGCACUAACUUUUUCAUAAAAGCCUAGUAAGUUUGUUUGACAUGAUCUAUCCUUCACAAAUCCAUGUUGGUUCCUAAUAAUAAUCUUUUUGGCUUCAAGGAUUUUCUGUACGCUAUCCCUUAGAAUGCUUUCUAGCACUUGCCCCACUAUAGAUGUAAGACUAACUGGCCUAUAAUUGCCUGGUUCAGCUUUACUCCCCUUUUUGAAGAUCGGCACUACUUUCGCUAUGCGCCAGUCUUUGGGAACCAUGGGGGUCAUUCCGAGUUGAUCGCUCGCUAGCAGUUUUUAUCAGCCGUGCAAAUGCAUUGUUGCCGCCUACUGGGGAGUGUAUUUUCGCUUUGCAGAAGUGCGAACGCUUGUGCAGCAGAGCACCUGCAAAAUCCUUUUGUGCAAAACAAGACCAGCCCUGUAGUUACUCUUCGUGUGCGUUGAUUCUAAUGAUGGAGGGACGGCUUUUGACGUCACACACCUGCCCAGCAAACGCCCAGCCACGCCUGCGUUUUUCAGCCACACCUGCAUUUUUCCAAACACUCCCUGAAAACGGUCAGUUGCCACCCAGAAACACCCACUUCAUGUCAAUCUUCCUGCAUUUGGCCGUGCGAUAGGAAUGUUCUGAUUGCUGCGCUGUGAACAACGGCAGCUAGCGAUCAACUCGGAAUGACCCCCCAUACCUGAUGAAAGUGAAUCAUUGAAGAUUAGAAAAAGAGGUCUUGCUAAUUCGGAGUGUAGUUCCAUGUGGAAAUUAUAUUCUUUAUCACCUUCUUCUUUGUCAUCUUUCAAACAUUAUUUUUCGGAAUAUGCAUGUAUCUGUCAUUGGAUUGAAGUUUGAAUUAUUGAGUCAUCCAGUGUAUUGUGAGCUGUCUGUAAAUGGUAUUUUCAUAACAUCUUCUAAAGUGAUUUCACUCUUCAUUGUGAUUGUCUUCUUUAA